This 216-nucleotide ribosomal RNA is filed under the name Glomeromycotina sp. RNAcentral describes it as "partial small subunit ribosomal RNA". The stretch from base 40 to 216 matches the Rfam family "Eukaryotic small subunit ribosomal RNA", at positions 686 to 864 of the family's 1831-position model. The record is from RNAcentral. Lineage: Eukaryota; Fungi; Glomeromycota.
GGGUCAGUAGGUUGGUCGUGCCACCGGUACGUACUGGUCUCACUGAUUCCUCCUUCCUGAAUAAACGUAAUGCCAUUAAUUUGGUGUUGCGGGGAAACAGGACUGUUAAUUUGAAAAAAUUAGAGUGUUUAAAGCAAGCUAACGCUUGAAUACAUUAUCAUGGAAUAAUGAAAUAGGACGAUCGAUCCUAUUUUGUUGGUUUCUAGGAUUGACGUA